ACGCUAGCGGCGCGCUUAUGCAUGCAAGUCGAGCGAUGAGACUCCUACGGGAGCACAUCAGCGGCAGACGGGUGAGUAACACGUAGAUGACGUACCCUCAAGACGGGGAUAACGGAUGGAAACAUGCGCUAAUACCGGAUGACCUUACGAUGUCAGAAUGGUAAGGAAAGCUACGGCGCUUGAGGAGCGGUCUGCGGCCCAUCAGCUAGUUGGUAGGGUAAAGGCCUACCAAGGCGAAGACGGGUAGGGGGUGUGAGAGCACGGCCCCCCACAAUGGGACUGAGACACGGCCCAUACUCCUACGGGAGGCAGCAGCAGGGAAUAUUGCACAAUGGACGGAAGUCUGAUGCAGCGACGCCGCGUGAGUGAAGAAGGCCUUCGGGUUGUAAAACUCUUUUGAGGGGGAAGAGCGAGGACGGUACCCCUGGAAUAAGCGUCGGCUAACUACGUGCCAGCAGCCGCGGUAAGACGUAGGACGCGAGCGUUAUCCGGAUUUACUGGGCGUAAAGCGUCUGUAGGCGGAUGUGUAAGUUGGGCGUGAAAGCUCCGGGCUUAACCCGGAGAGGCCGUUCAAUACUGCAUAACUUGAGGGUGUCAGAGGGGAGCGGAAUUCCCGGUGUAGCGGUAAAAUGCGCAGAGAUCGGGAGGAACACCAGUGGCGGAGGCGGUUCCCUGGGGCACACCUGACGCUGAGAGACGAAAGCUAGGGGAGCGAACAGGAUUAGAGACCCUGGUAGUCCUAGCCCUAAACGAUGAAUGCUAGGUGUGGGAUCGAAUGGUUCCGUGCCGGAGCGAACGCGAUAAGCAUUCCGCCUGGGGAGUACGGCCGCAAGGUUAGAACUCAAACGAAUUGACGGGGCCCCGCACAAGCAGCGGAGCGUGUGGUUAAAUUCGAUGCUACACGAAGAACCUUACCUGGGUUUGACAUGUAGGUGGUAGUGAAUCGAAAGGUGAACGACCCUU
This 963-nucleotide ribosomal RNA is filed under the name uncultured organism. RNAcentral's name for it is "bacterial SSU rRNA". It matches the Rfam family "Bacterial small subunit ribosomal RNA", at positions 33 to 1020 of the family's 1533-position model. The record is from RNAcentral.